RNAcentral lists this ribosomal RNA (406 nucleotides) under uncultured bacterium. RNAcentral's name for it is "partial 16S ribosomal RNA". It matches the Rfam family "Bacterial small subunit ribosomal RNA", at positions 29 to 526 of the family's 1533-position model. The record is from RNAcentral.
AUUGAACGCUGGCGGCAGGCCUAACACAUGCAAGUCGAGCGAGCGGCGGACGGGUGAGUAAUGUCUGGGAAACUGCCUGAUGGAGGGGGAUCACUACUGGAAACGGUAGCUAAUACCGCAUACCAUCAGAUGUGCCCAGAUGGGAUUAGCUAGUAGGUUGGGUAACGGCUCCCCUAGGCGACGAUCCCUAGCUGGUCUGAGAGGAUGACCAGCCACACGGGAAAUGAGACACGGUCCAGACGCCUACGGGAGGCAGCAGUGGGGAAUAUGGCACAAUGGGCGAAAGCCUGAUGCAGCCAUGCCGCGUGUAUGAAGAAGGCCUUCGGGUUGUAAAGCACUUUCAGCGGGGAGGCGUUACCCGCAGAAGAAGCACCGGCUAAAUCCGUGCCAGCAGCCGCGGUAAGAC